CACUCCUACGGGAGUCAGCAGUGGGGAAUAUUGCACAAUGGGCGCAAGCCUGAUGCAGCCAUGCCGCGUGUAUGAAGAAGGCCUUCGGGUUGUAAAGUACUUUCAGCAGUGAGGAAGGUGGGUAUGUUAAUAGCAUACUCAUUUGACGUUAGCUGCAGAAGAAGCACCGGCUAACUCCGUGCCAGCAGCCGCGGUAAUACGGAGGGUGCGAGCGUUAAUCGGAAUUACUGGGCGUAAAGCGCAUGCAGGUGGUUUGUUAAGUCAGAUGUGAAAGCCCGGGGCUCAACCUCGGAAUUGCAUUUGAAACUGGCAAACUAGAGUACUGUAGAGGGGGUAGAAUUUCAGGUGUAGCGGUGAAAUGCGUAGAGAUCUGAAGGAAUACCGGUGGCGAAGGCGGCCCCCUGGACAGAUACUGACACUCAGAUGCGAAAGCGUGGGGAGCAAACAGGAUUAGAUACCCUGGUCG
This 466-nucleotide ribosomal RNA is filed under the name uncultured bacterium. Its description in RNAcentral is "bacterial SSU rRNA". It matches the Rfam family "Bacterial small subunit ribosomal RNA", at positions 334 to 793 of the family's 1533-position model. The record is from RNAcentral.